GUGCUCUUCAUUGAUUUUGGCUGUUCAGCUACACUCCCAGUGCAGUCUUUGCGCAGCCUGGACAGUGAUGAUUUCUGGGCCAUCCCACCUUUGACUCAGCCCUUCAUGCUAGAAAAAGAUAUUCUCAGUUCCAAGCAAGCUGUUCGUCAAGUCAUGAAAGGAAAAAUCACUGGCUGCUUGAGCAUGGAGUCUCACAUCCUGAAGUUUGAAGAAAUGAAAUGAUAAACCUGCUCACUCAUUUUUGGUUUUCCAUUCCACUCCCAUCUCAGUUCCGUAGGUGACAUCAAACGCCCCCCAUCUUGUUUGUAGCCAUGCUGUUUCUCCUCAUCCUAUUAUAUCACUUUUACUCCUGUAUUCCCAGGAUAAGCUUGUGAUUAUAUUUGAUUAGAUUUCAGUUCAUAGGGCUCUGAACCCUGGCACAAAACCUGGAAAUUCCAGGAAAGGAGUAGUUAGGAAACUUUGCAUUUGCCCUGGUGCUCUUCUAAGAAGUAAGCUGUAUGUGAAGGGCAG
This 510-nucleotide long non-coding RNA is filed under the name Vombatus ursinus (common wombat). RNAcentral describes it as "lncRNA (ENSVURG00010022264.1)". Lineage: Eukaryota; Metazoa; Chordata; Mammalia; Diprotodontia; Vombatidae. The record is from RNAcentral.